RNAcentral lists this ribosomal RNA (141 nucleotides) under uncultured eukaryote. RNAcentral describes it as "partial 18S ribosomal RNA". It matches the Rfam family "Eukaryotic small subunit ribosomal RNA", at positions 1299 to 1458 of the family's 1831-position model. The record is from RNAcentral.
UGGUGGAGUGAUUUGUCUGGUUAAUUCCGUUAACGAACGAGACCUCAGCCUACUAACUAGUUAAUGCAAUCUUCGCGAUUGUAUCUUAGCUUCUUAGAGGGACUAUCGGUGAUUAGCCGAUGGAAGUUUGAGGCAAUAACA